Lycium barbarum (goji berry) is the source of this 383-nucleotide long non-coding RNA. RefSeq lists it as uncharacterized. NCBI's taxonomy places the organism in Eukaryota, Viridiplantae, Streptophyta, Magnoliopsida, Solanales, Solanaceae. The transcript is spliced from 3 exons. The record is from RefSeq and is a predicted model, not a curated record.
AUCAGAAAAGAUCCAAAAAAUUCCAUUAGAGAGAGAGAGAGAAAACUUCAAGGCUAAGAAGAUCAUUUUGAUCAAAAUCCGAGCUCCGAAUCCCGAAGCUCAUGAAGAGAAAAACGUUGUACGUUGCGUUGCCUUCAAUUUGAGAUAAAUAUUAGUCUUGGGGGAUGAAAUUUUCGUGGUGGAUCUUCUGAUAAGAUUUUGGACGAGAUUGGGAUCGACGCCAAGCGAGCGUAAGGCGCUAUCGAGGUACAGGCGCACUCGGUGACACGCCGCCAGUCUAGGGCACAGGUUCUGCUAUCUUGAAGAGCUCCUUUUGAUUCGGAGCAUGUACUUUGGUAUAUAUAUCUUUUGUUUUCCGUAUGUUCUGUAUGUAUGGAAGUUCU